GGGAAGCCUCGCUCCAGCCGCGUCGUUUCCGCGCCGAAGUGCGAUCCGGGGCCCCGCGCUGGAGUCCCCUGCUCUCAGGCUGGUCUGGAAGUUGGUGGUGGGGUUCAGGGUCCCCGGAAAGCUGGGGUUCCAGGGUGGCAGUUGCUGGAGUACCAGGGCACCAAGUGGAGGAUGUGGUAGACAGCCUCUAAGAUGCGCCCCCUGCCAAUGAUCUCUGCCUCCAGGGAGGAGCUAGAAGGCAGAGAGAAAGCCACUCAGGACUUCCCAUCCCAGAAGAUAAAGGUGAGGAAAGCAGCAGCAGCAGCCACAGGCCAGUAUUCCAGAGCAGCUUUGGGUUCCUGUCAAGACCUGCUUUGAGAAGGAGGUGGCUGUGGGGCUGGAGGGCUGGGCCUGUUCCUGAGCUGGCUGCUGGCAGCACAGCAAUGAGGCAACAUUGACAACUGCGACACGAGGCCCAGUCCUGCUACUAAACCAACUGUGUGGACUUGCAUAGUCACUUCACCCCUCGGGCCUCCAUUUCUCCACUUUGGAAAGCAGUGUUGGGACGAUGUUAAGGGUUUGCAACCUUCUAACAUGAAGACUUAUUUUUAAAAGCAAAACAUUUCAAAGAGUCCACAUGACAGUAGUGUUCAUUUUGGCAUCUGUUGAUUUAACAAAUACAAAAUUAGGCUGGGUGUAGUUGCUAACGCCUGUAAUUCCAGCACUUUGGGAGGCCGAGGCAGGAGGAUCACCUGAAAUCAGGAGUUCGAGACCAGCCUGGCCAACAUGGUGGAACUCCAUCACUACCAAAAAUACAAAAAUUAGCUGGGCUUGGUGGCACGUGCCUGUAAUCCCAGCUACUCGGGAGGCUGAGGCAGGAGAAUCAUUUGAACCUGGGAGGCAGAAGUUGCAGUGACCUGAGAUUGCACCACUGCACUCCAGCCUGGGCAACAGGGCAAGACUCCAUUAAAAAAAAAAGUACAAAAUUA
Gorilla gorilla gorilla (western lowland gorilla) is the source of this 968-nucleotide long non-coding RNA. RefSeq lists it as uncharacterized. NCBI's taxonomy places the organism in Eukaryota, Metazoa, Chordata, Mammalia, Primates, Hominidae. The transcript is spliced from 3 exons. The record is from RefSeq and is a predicted model, not a curated record.